UUGAUCCUGGCUCAGAACGAACGCUGGCGGCAGGCCUAACACAUGCAAGUCGAACGCCCCGCAAGGGGAGUGGCAGACGGGUGAGUAACACGUGGGAACGUGCCCAAAGGUACGGAACAACUCCGGGAAACUGGAGCUAAUACCGUAUGUGCCCGAAAGGGGAAAGAUUUAUCGCCUUUGGAUCGGCCCGCGUCUGAUUAGCUAGUUGGCGGGGUAAUGGCCCACCAAGGCGACGAUCAGUAGCUGGUCUGAGAGGAUGGCCAGCCACACUGGGACUGAGACACGGCCCAGACUCCUACGGGAGGCAGCAGUGGGGAAUAUUGGACAAUGGGCGCAAGCCUGAUCCAGCCAUGCCGCGUGAGUGAUGAAGGCCUUAGGGUUGUAAAGCUCUUUCGCCAGGGACGAUAAUGACGGUACCUGGAUAAGAAGCCCCGGCUAACUUCGUGCCAGCAGCCGCGGUAAUACGAAGGGGGCUAGCGUUGUUCGGAAUCACUGGGCGUAAGGCGUAUGCAGGCGGAUCGUUAAGUCGGGGGUGAAAUCCCGAGGCUCAACCUCGGAACUGCCUUCGAUACUGGCGAUCUUGGAGUCCGGGAGAGGUGAGUGGAACUGCGAGUGUAGAGGUGAAAUUCGUAGAUAUUCGCAAGAACACCAGUGGCGAAGGCGGCUCACUGGCCCGGUACUGACGCUGAGAUACGAAAGCGUGGGGAGCAAACAGGAUUAGAUACCCUGGUAGUCCACGCUGUAAACGAUGGAUGCUAGCCGUCGGUGGGCAUGCCCUUCGGUGGCGCAGCUAACGCAAUAAGCAUCCCGCCUGGGGAGUACGAUCGCAAGAUUAAACUCAAAGGAAUUGACGGGGGCCCGCACAAGCGGUGGAGCAUGUGGUUCAAUUCGAAGCAACGCGAGACCUUACCA
Molecule: ribosomal RNA, 912 nt
Filed under: bacterium enrichment culture clone 2_95
Lineage: Bacteria
Description: bacterial SSU rRNA
Rfam family: Bacterial small subunit ribosomal RNA
Source: RNAcentral